GUGCCAGCAGCCGCGGUAAUACGUAGGUGGCGAGCGUUAUCCGGAAUUAUUGGGCGUAAAGAGCGCGCAGGUGGUUGAUUAAGUCUGAUGUGAAAGCCCACGGCUUAACCGUGGAGGGUCAUUGGAAACUGGUCGACUUGAGUGCAGAAGAGGGAAGUGGAAUUCCAUGUGUAGCGGUGAAAUGCGUAGAGAUAUGGAGGAACACCAGUGGCGAAGGCGGCUUCCUGGUCUGUAACUGACACUGAGGCGCGAAAGCGUGGGGAGCAAACAGGAUUAGAUACCCCUGUAGUCC
Molecule: ribosomal RNA, 292 nt
Filed under: uncultured bacterium
Lineage: Bacteria
Description: partial 16S ribosomal RNA
Rfam family: Bacterial small subunit ribosomal RNA
Source: RNAcentral